AUUGAACGCUGGCGGAAUGCUUUACACAUGCAAGUCGAACGGCAGCACGGGGGCAGCCCUGGCGGCGAGUGGCGAACGGGUGAGUAAUACAUCGGAACGUGCCCGGUCGUGGGGGAUAACGUAGCGAAAGUUACGCUAAUACCGCAUACGAUCUGAGGAUGAAAGCGGGGGACCUUCGGGCCUCGCGCGAUCGGAGCGGCCGAUGUCAGAUUAGGUAGUUGGUGGGGUAAAGGCCUACCAAGCCGACGAUCUGUAGCUGGUCUGAGAGGACGACCAGCCACACUGGGACUGAGACACGGCCCAGACUCCUACGGGAGGCAGCAGUGGGGAAUUUUGGACAAUGGGCGCAAGCCUGAUCCAGCCAUUCCGCGUGCAGGACGAAGGCCUUCGGGUUGUAAACUGCUUUUGUACGGAACGAAAAGGCUCUGGCUAAUACCUGGGGCUCAUGACGGUACCGGAAGAAUAAGCACCGGCUAACUACGUG
RNAcentral lists this ribosomal RNA (484 nucleotides) under uncultured bacterium. Its description in RNAcentral is "partial 16S ribosomal RNA". It matches the Rfam family "Bacterial small subunit ribosomal RNA", at positions 29 to 507 of the family's 1533-position model. The record is from RNAcentral.